This is a long non-coding RNA of Oncorhynchus tshawytscha (Chinook salmon), 1204 nucleotides long. NCBI's taxonomy places the organism in Eukaryota, Metazoa, Chordata, Actinopteri, Salmoniformes, Salmonidae. The record is from Ensembl.
UGUGUGUGUGUGUGUGUGUGUGUGUGUGUGACGUGUGUAUGUGUGUGUGUGUGACGUGUGUAUGUGUGUGUGACAUGUGUGUGUGUGUGUGUGUGUAUGCUGCUUGUUGUUAGCAGAACAUCCAGGAACCUUCGUUCCCUGGAAAAAGAAGCAUAGGGGUGUAAACACACCUGUGUUGACUGUUGAAACAGACGGACGGUGUUGUGUUUGAGCUUCAGGAGUAUGGUGAUGGUGGUGGUGGUGGUAAUAUAAUCCAACCUAAUCAGGGUUCUACCAUCACAGCAGGACUGGGACAUAUGGCCUACAAAUCUGAUCUAGACCUUUUCAAACUUCUUGUCCUACAAAUCUGAUCUAGACCUUUUCAAACUUCUGGGCCUACAAAUCUGAUCUAGACCUUUUCAAACUUCUGGGCCUACAAAUCUGAUCUAGACCUUUUCAAACUUCUGGGCCUACAAAUCUGAUCUAGACCUUUUCAAACUUCUGGGCCUACAAAUCUGAUCUAGACCUUUUCAAACUUCUGGGCCUACAAAUCUGAUCUAGACCUUUUCAAACUUCUGGGCCUACAAAUCUGAUCUAGACCUUUUCAAACUUCUGGGCCAUUCACAGUAUGCAGUUUAUCUAGAUUUGUUUAAUGUUUUCUCUAAAUAAGCUUUGUGGUACAAUUAAAAGGUAGAAAAACCCACUGCAUUUCAAACAGUCAGCUACAGUGGGGAGAACAAGUAUUUGAUACACUGCCGAUUUUGCAGGUUCUCCUACUUACAAAGCAUGUAGAGGUCUGUCAUUUUUAUCACAGGGACACUUCAACUGUGAGAGACGGAAUCUAAAACAAAAAUCCAGAAAAUCACAUUGAAUGAUUUUUUAGUAAUUAAUUAGCAUUUUAUUGCAUGACAUAAGUAUUUGAUACAUCACAAAAAAGCAGAACUUAAUAUUUGGUACAGAAACCUUUGUUUGCAAUUACAGAGAUCAUACCCAUCAGGGUAUACUGUAGUAUCUAUAUCAGGGUAUACUGUAGUAUCUAUAUCAGGGUAUACUGUAGUAUCUAUAUCAGAGGGUAUACUGUAGUAUCUAUAUCAGGGGGUAUACUGUAGUAUCUAUAUCAGAGGGUAUACUGUAGUAUCUAUAUCAGGGUAUACUGUAGUAUCUAUAUCAGAGGGUAUACUGUAGUAUCUAUAUCAGAGGGUAUACUGUAGUAUCUAUAUCAGAG